This 793-nucleotide ribosomal RNA is filed under the name Eukaryota sp. Its description in RNAcentral is "SSU rRNA". It matches the Rfam family "Eukaryotic small subunit ribosomal RNA", at positions 1 to 762 of the family's 1831-position model. The record is from RNAcentral.
AACCUGGUUGAUCCUGCCAGUUGCCAUAUGCUUGUCUCAAAGACUAAGCCAUGCAUGUCUAAGUUCAACGUAAUCAAUACGUGAAACCGCGAAUGGCUCAUUAAAUCAGUUACUAUUCAAUUGUUUGCUUACUCUCCCAGUUAUAUGAAUAACUGCGGUAACCCUGCAGCUAAUGCAUGCGAAGUGGUACUUAGUCGCCUUUGUGUUCGAGUACAACUUUUACUUGCCUAAUAGCCCGAGGCCAGAGAAAUCAGGACCCUAACAUGUUGAAUGCUGAAGUAACUGCUUGACGUUCACACACCUUACGUUGGUGGAACGCAACUCAUUCGAAUUUCUGCCCUAUCAACUUUGACGGUAGUGUAACGGACUACCGUGGUUGUGACGGGUGACGGGGAAUCAGGGUUCGAUUCCGGAGAGGGAGCCUGAGAAACGGCUACCACUUUUAAGAAAGGCAGCAGGCACGCAAAUUACCCAAUGUCGGUACGACGAGGUAGUGACGAAGAAUAACGAUAUGAACCUAUAAAGGUUUGUAAUCGGAAUGGAAUAGAUGUAACGCAUCUAUUGAGGAUCUAGUAGAGGGCAAGUCUGGUGCCAGCAGCCGCGGUAAUACCAGCCUCUACAAGCAUAUGCAAAAGUUGCUGCGUUUGAAAAGCUCAUAGUUGGAUCUGUUGAAUGACACGAGUGUAACAACGGCGGUGAAUACCUUAGUUGUCGCUUUGCCGUUCAGUCUCCCUGUCAAGUAUAUUUGCACUUUAUUGUGUUGAAUAUACGCGAUAGGGUAAUCACCUUGAGU